AUUGAACGCUGGCGGCAUGCCUUACACAUGCAAGUCGAACGGCAGCACGGGAGCAAUCCUGGUGGCGAGUGGCGAACGGGUGAGUAAAGUAUCGGAACGUGCCCAGUCGUGGGGGAUAACGUAGCGAAAGUUACGCUAAUACCGCAUACGAUCUAUGGAUGAAAGCGGGGGAUCGCAAGACCUUGCGCGAUUGGAGCGGCCGAUAUCAGAUUAGGUAGUUGGCGGGGUAAAGGCUCACCAAGCCGACGAUCUGUAGCUGGUCUGAGAGGACGACCAGCCACACUGGGACUGAGACACGGCCCAGACUCCGACGGGAGGCAGCAGUGGGGAAUUUUGGACAAUGGGCGCAAGCCUGAUCCAGCCAUGCCGCGUGCAGGAUGAAGGCCUUCGGGUUGUAAACUGCUUUUGUACGGAACGAAAAGGUUUGGCCUAAUACGCUGAACUCAUGACGGUACCGUAAGAAUAAGCACCGGCUAACUACGUGCCAGCCGCCGCCGUAA
RNAcentral lists this ribosomal RNA (500 nucleotides) under uncultured bacterium. Its description in RNAcentral is "partial 16S ribosomal RNA". It matches the Rfam family "Bacterial small subunit ribosomal RNA", at positions 30 to 523 of the family's 1533-position model. The record is from RNAcentral.